UACGGGGGGGGCAAGCGUUGUUCGGAAUUACUGGGCGUAAAGGGCUCGUAGGCGGCCAACUAAGUCAGACGUGAAAUCCCUCGGCUUAACCGGGGAACUGCAUCUGAUACUGGAUGGCUUGAGUUCGGGAGAGGGAUGCGGAAUUCCAGGUGUAGCGGUGAAAUGCGUAGAUAUCUGCAGGAACACCCGUGGCGAAAGCGGCGCGCUGGACCACUACUGACGCUGAGGAACGAAAGCUAGGGGAGCAAACAGG
RNAcentral lists this ribosomal RNA (253 nucleotides) under uncultured bacterium. RNAcentral's name for it is "partial 16S ribosomal RNA". It matches the Rfam family "Bacterial small subunit ribosomal RNA", at positions 524 to 776 of the family's 1533-position model. The record is from RNAcentral.